AGGACGAACGCUGGCGGCGUGCUUAACACAUGCAAGUGGAGCGACGAACCAGGCUUCGGCCUGGGGCAGAGCCGCGAACGGGUGAGUAACACGUGGGUAACGUGCCCCGAUGACUGGGACAACCCGGGGAAACCCGGGCUAAUACCGGAUAUGCCCCCUCACGCGAGUGAGGUGUGUAAAGGAAGCUUCGGCCUCCGCAUCGGGAUCGGCCCGCGGCCCAUUAGCUUGUUGGUGAGGUAACGGCUCACCAAGGCUGCGAUGGGUAGCGUGGUCUGAGAGGACGAUCAGCCACACGUGGGACUGAGACACGGCCCAGACUCCGUACGGGAGGCAGCAGGUAGGGGAAUAGUUGACACAAGUGGGCGCAAGCCUGAUGCAGCGACGCCGCGUGAGGGAUCGGACGGCCGUUCGGUUAGUUAACCUUACUUCG
Molecule: ribosomal RNA, 430 nt
Filed under: uncultured soil bacterium
Lineage: Bacteria
Description: bacterial SSU rRNA
Rfam family: Bacterial small subunit ribosomal RNA
Source: RNAcentral